RNAcentral lists this ribosomal RNA (198 nucleotides) under uncultured bacterium. RNAcentral's name for it is "partial 16S ribosomal RNA". The record is from RNAcentral.
CUAUGCGCCUUGCCAGCCCGCUCAGUCAGAGUUUGAUCCUGGCUCAGAUCCUGCAGAUAACGCUAUUCAGCAACACAAGAAACACUAUCCUAUUGAGUGUCAGCGUGCAUUCAUUCCCUUUAUUCACUGGUUCAACAGAAAAUGAAUUCCCGUAUUUAGGAAUCUCCCAUUACAGUGGUUCGCAAACUGUAGGGUGUG